This 28-nucleotide transfer RNA is filed under the name Radula patens. Its description in RNAcentral is "partial tRNA-Gly". Lineage: Eukaryota; Viridiplantae; Streptophyta; Jungermanniopsida; Radulales; Radulaceae. The record is from RNAcentral.
AGUGGUAAAACUAGCCUUCCAAGCUAAG